GUCGUUCUGGCGCAGCGGUAGCGUGGUGGGCCCAUAACCCACAGGUCGGGGGAUCGAGACCUCCGAACGACA
Chloropicon primus is the source of this 72-nucleotide non-coding RNA. Lineage: Eukaryota; Viridiplantae; Chlorophyta; Chloropicophyceae; Chloropicales; Chloropicaceae. The record is from the annotation of a GenBank genome assembly.